AGCGAACGCUGGCGGCGUGCCUAACACAUGCAAGUCGAACGCGAAAGGGAGCACUCCCUAGUAACGUGGCGUACGGGUGAGUAACAUGUAGGUAAUCUACCCCAGAAUCUGGAAUAACCGGCCGAAAGGCUGGCUAAUACUGGAUAGAGCGACGGAAUCCGUAAUUGGGUUUUUCGGGAAAGGGAGCCUGUAAAAAGGCCUUCGUUCUGGGAUGAGCCUGCGUCCCAUCAGCUAGUUGGUGAGGUAAAAGCUUACCAAGGCAAUGACGGGUAGCUGGUCUGAGAGGACGAGCAGCCACACUGGAACUGAAACACGGUCCAGACUCCUACGGGAGGCAGCAGUGGGGAAUCUUGCGCAAUGGACGAAAGUCUGACGCAGCAACGCCGCGUGAGUGAAGAAGGCCUUCGGGUUGUAAAGCUCUGUCGAGUGGGACGAAAAUGCUUGGAGUUCACAGCUCCAGGAACUGACGGUACCACUAAAGGAAGCACCGGCUAACUCCGUG
Molecule: ribosomal RNA, 502 nt
Filed under: uncultured bacterium
Lineage: Bacteria
Description: partial 16S ribosomal RNA
Rfam family: Bacterial small subunit ribosomal RNA
Source: RNAcentral